Molecule: ribosomal RNA, 484 nt
Filed under: uncultured bacterium
Lineage: Bacteria
Description: partial 16S ribosomal RNA
Rfam family: Bacterial small subunit ribosomal RNA
Source: RNAcentral
AGUGAACGCUGGCGGCGUGCUUAACACAUGCGAGUCGAACGAGAACGGAUUAUAGCUUGCUAUAAUUGUCAGCUAAGUGGCGCACGGGUGAGUAAUGUAUAGGUAAUAUGCCUCUUACUAAGGGAUAACAAAUGGAAACGUUUGCUAAUACCUUAUACUCCUUAUUAACAGAAGUUAAUAAGGGAAAGAUUUAUUGGUAAGAGAUUAGCCUGUAUUGUAUCAGUUAGUUGGUGGGGUAAUGGCCUACCAAGACUAUGACACAUAACUGGUUUGAGAGGAUGAUCAGUCGCACUGGAACUGAGACACGGUCCAGACUCCUACGGGAGGCAGCAGUGGGUAAUAUUGCACAAUGGACGAAAGUCUGAUGCAGCAACGCCGCGUGGAGGAUGACACAUUUCGGUGCGUAAACUCCUUUUAUAUGAGAAGAUAAUGACGGUAUUAUAUGAAUAAGCACCGGCUAACUCCGUGCCAGCCGCCGCCGUAA